CCUGGAUCCUUUCCACAGGAACCCUGGCAAUCUGCGUGAAUUUCCUUUAUUUUGCAACACAGGGUUGAAUGGAGAAAUCCAGCUCAAACAGGAUGGAACAGUUCCAAAUGGAAACAAAUCAAAUUCAGAGAAGAACAUACUGAUGGGGACCAGAUAGACAUGCAUCCAACUUGUUCUUACUGGAUUAGAGCAAGUGGGCAGAAUCACGGCAGUUCAGGAGAAAGAAACCAAAUGAAGCCAGAAAACAUUUUCCAGAUGGAAAGAAAACACUGGACUUUGG
Chinchilla lanigera (long-tailed chinchilla) is the source of this 280-nucleotide long non-coding RNA. RefSeq lists it as uncharacterized. The record is from RefSeq and is a predicted model, not a curated record. NCBI's taxonomy places the organism in Eukaryota, Metazoa, Chordata, Mammalia, Rodentia, Chinchillidae. The transcript is spliced from 3 exons.